AUUGAACGCUGGCGGCAUGCUUUACACAUGCAAGUCGAACGGUAACAGGUUAAGCUGACGAGUGGCGAACGGGUGAGUAAUGCAUCGGAACGUGCCCGGUCGUGGGGGAUAACACUUCGAAAGAAGUGCUAAUACCGCAUACGAUCUGAGGAUGAAAGCGGGGGACCGUAAGGCCUCGCGCGAUCGGAGCGGCCGAUGUCAGAUUAGGGAGUUGGUGGGGUAAAGGCUCACCAAGCCGACGAUCUGUAGCUGGUCUGAGAGGACGACCAGCCACACUGGGCCUGAGACACGGCCCAGAAUCCUACGGGAGGCAGCAGUGGGGAAUUUUGGACAAUGGGAGCAAGCCUGAUCCAGCAAUGCCGCGUGCAGGAAGAAGGCCUUCGGGUUGUAAACUGCUUUUGUACGGAGCGAAAAGGCUCUCUCUAAUACAGGGGGCUCAUGACGGUACCGUAAGAAUAAGCACCGGCUAACUACGUGCCAGCCGCCGCUGUAA
This 493-nucleotide ribosomal RNA is filed under the name uncultured bacterium. RNAcentral's name for it is "partial 16S ribosomal RNA". It matches the Rfam family "Bacterial small subunit ribosomal RNA", at positions 30 to 523 of the family's 1533-position model. The record is from RNAcentral.